CCUACGGGUGACAGCAGUCGAGAAUCAUUCACAAUGGGGGAAACCCUGAUGCUGCGACGCCGCGUGGGGGAAUGAAGGUCUUCGGAUUGUAAACCCCUGUCAUGUGGGAGCAAAUUAAAAAGAUAGUACCACAAGAGGAAGAGACGGCUAACUCUGUGCCAGCAGCCGCGGUAAUACAGAGGUCUCAAGCGUUGUUCGGAAUCACUGGGCGUAAGGCGUGCGUAGGCUGUUUCGUAAGUCGUGUGUGAAAGGCGCGGGCUCAACCCGCGGACGGAACAUGAUACUGCGAGACUAGAGUAAUGGAGGGGGAACCGGAAUUCUCGGUGUAGCAGUGAAAUGCGUAGAUAUCGAGAGGAACACUCGUGGCGAAGGCGGGUUCCUGGACAUUAACUGACGCUGAGGCACGAAGGCCAGGGGAGCGAAAGGGAUUAGAUACCCCAGUAGUC
Molecule: ribosomal RNA, 446 nt
Filed under: uncultured bacterium
Lineage: Bacteria
Description: partial 16S ribosomal RNA
Rfam family: Bacterial small subunit ribosomal RNA
Source: RNAcentral